ACAGAUCUGCUACAGUAACUGUACAUAAAGUAGCAUACAUGUAUGACAGGAAAGGAGGAAAAUGUAUGGCUGGACCGAGAUUCUAAUCUGGGACCCCUGCAUCACUAGUCAGAUCUUAUGGACAUACAUGAUCCUUGGCUAUAUAAUCAAGUGUCAUAUGCAGUGUUACAAAAGAAUAUUGGAAUUAUGUCAAUAAGAAAAAGAACUACCAGAAGGAUACAGUAAAGAGAAACAGACAUAUCCCACCCAUUAGAUAUGUGCUUCAAAAUCUGAAUAUACAGAAUGAAUUCUGCUCAUUGCAGCUCCUUCUGAAAAGAACACCUUUGUUGUAUUGACAUAGAAUCAACAGAAUUGUCCGAUUCCUUGAACAUGACACAACUGGAUCCAUAUGAUGGCAAUUAAAGAUUCAUACAUGUGUACAUAAAUGAUUGAUCUUCGUCAGCCGAUAAGCCAAAAAACUACA
Molecule: long non-coding RNA, 463 nt
Organism: Saccostrea echinata
Lineage: Eukaryota; Metazoa; Mollusca; Bivalvia; Ostreida; Ostreidae
Exons: 3
Source: RefSeq, a predicted model, not a curated record